GCUGGGGGUGAGAGUUCCAGCUUGGUUGAGACUGGACCCUGCAGGAUUUAGCUCUCCCGGUCAGGCCAGAUGGGGAACCAACCACCAGCAGAGGUGGAUGGUGGCUGCCCAGGCCUUGAUGUGGGCGCAGAAAUCAGUGAGCAGACAUUGAUCUGGAUGCGAGCCUCCAGAUGUGGCGUCUCAAGACGGAGCCUCGGUGGUCAGUCCAGGAGGGUCCCUUCUUAGGAUACCCUAAAUAUCCUCAGAGGAGCGUGAGGCCUCAGGGCUCAGAGUGUCCAGCAGCCAGAACGAGGACCUCUCUCCACCGCUGAAAUAAUCUGAAUUGGUGUAUAAGGGUUAGAUCUGCAGGGCCCAGAGCUGGCAAAACUUGGUUAUACAGAAAAGGGAAGCAAGAUUAAAGGCUUGCGACAUUCCCCCACACUCAUGUAUGCGGAGUGACUUAAUCCACUGGCAAUUCCACACCCUAGGUCUUAUGUUUAUUUUCGUUUUAUACGCAAAGGAAAUGAUGCACAGAAAUGUUUAGCAACCGGCCCAAGUCACACAGCAACAGGGAGGCAGAACUGGGCUUUGAUCCCAGGCAGAACAGCAAGAAGACCUGUGUUCGCUCUCUGGUCCUGGGGAGGCUCUAUGCUGGGAAGCAGCCAAGAGCUUGGAUGUUUGGGUCCGAGCGCUCUGGCUUCAUCCCCGGGGGGGGGGGGGGGCUCUUCCUUCCAACUGCGAGAUGUCAGGUGGGUUCCAGUCUCCUUAGUUGAGUGUGAAAGAGACCCACUCUACCUUCCUAGGACACGGAGGUGUUUACACAAGCUGAUGAUGUCACGGGCACGCAGGAAAGCACUCACCCCCACACGGACUCUACGUGGCUUCUUUACAGGAACUUCUGCUGCCCGGUCCUGCGCCUCAAAGGAUGAUGCAUGUGACUAAAUCAGUAGAGAUUUCACUGGAAAUUCCCCCAGGCCACUCAAGCCUCAUCCGGCCUCGGGCAGGAGUCCUGCAUCCAGCUUGUGGCGCCGUGGGAACCCCGUGAGAGAGAGCGUUCUGCUUGUUGCUUUCUUGCCAGCUCAGCCCAAACCCUUCCAGUGCGUCAGGCCGUCCCUGCUCUCUUUGCUGAGGGUAAGGGGUGGGGUUGCAGCUGGCAACCUGCUGCGCCUGCGCAGUCCUGCCAGGGUCUGAUUCUGUAAGCUCUUGAUACCAGGCCCCAGAGGCGGUGGGCCUGGCAGGGGAAGGCUGAAGUUAUCCCGUCAAAGAGCGCCAGGCCUCUGGAGAACCACCGUGGAGAGCAGGAAGCAGGCCCUUGAGGAGAGGCCUGAGUAGGGGAGGAUGCCCGGCACCCUGGGAGACUUAUCGUCAAGGACUUGGCACAAAAGUAAUAAAGACAGGCAGGACUGUCAUCUGAUGAACUGUCUUGACUGAUUUGGCAACUGGGGAGAGUGAAUUAAUCAUGUUUUUAUUUUUGGAUGCUUUUACAUCAUGGGUAUUGAAGUCAGGAGUGUCACCUGAUGAGAAGACCUUUGAGUCACCCCCUCGGUGGAGGACUGAGCAUUUAGAACAUUGAUGCUGCCCUCUGAGUGAGUGAGUGAGGAUUAAGCCUUCAUUGGAGGUUUCUUUUCUUUGUCCUAGCAAUUGGUCCAUUCUGACAGUGACAAUUGCUGGCUCUAAGCAGGCAGAAGCCUUUGGGGUAGCUGAUGUAAUACAUGUGUGUAAUGACAGGAUGUCCAGUGGUUUGAACCCUGGCCAGGUCAAGUCUGAUGUGAGAACAGGGAGGGAGAAGUAAAGGCCGGAGUCUGGCCGUCUGAGAUGCUAUUGUCAGGAAGACACUCCUGACACACAGGGAGGAAGAGAGCUGAAGGGCCUUGACGGUGCACGCACCACCAACCCUGAGACCAGGCUCAGCGGACCCUCAGAGGGAACUCAGAAGAGAGAAACUGAACUCCGGGCAUGGUGGUACACGCCUUUGAUCUGGGCAUGUGAGCCCCAGGAGGCUGAGGCAGGAGGAUCAAGAGUCUGAUGGGCAGUUGGGGUUAUAUACUGAGACCUUGGAGAGAGGGAAGGAGGAAAGGGAAGAUAGAUAGAUAGAUAGAUAGAUAGAUAGAUAGAUAGAUAGAUAGAUAGAUAGAACACAUAGGAAGUAAUACUUCACAGUGACUUCUGAGCCAUCCAUCCAUCCAUCCACCCAUCCAUCCACCCAUCCAUCCAUCCAUCCAUCCAGGAAACAACCAGCUGAGCGACUUCAGGUCGGAUCAGGGGUCCCUUAGCCAAUGCUCUGCCACCAAGAGUGCCUGAGAUAAACAGCUUACAAGGAGGAAGUGUUGGCUUUGGCUUUGGCUCUCUUGGCCCCUGCUGCUUUGACCCGUAUGACAGGAACACCCCACAGAGCAAACAUGCUCAUCUCGUGGCAGCCAAGAGAAGAGAGCGAUGGGGUGGGGUGGGGAGGAAGGAGAGGAAGACCAGAAGCUCUUCCUAGGUCAUACCUCAGCUGACCUAACUGUCCCACAGGCCCUGCUGCCUGGAGGUUCCACUGCCUCUCUGUGGCCUGUAGGCCAGCAAUCAAUCCUUUUACACCUAGGCUUGUGGGGAUGUUUAAGAGCCAGGGGCCAUAUGGCAAGGGGCUGUGAAGGGGCUGACAAAUGUGUAAUCAAGGGAUUCUGCUUUGCCAGGAAGCAGGGCGAAGAGUCCUCUCCCAGGACCCAGGGAAAGGAAAGGGGAGACCUAGAGCGGUGUGGAGGAGAGCUCAAGCUUGGGAGACAGAGAAGGGAACGUUCAGCCUUCUAGGCAGAGGGGACAACUCGUGCAAAGGCCCUGUGGCUGCUGGGCUGUUCGUGCUGGAGCAACUGAACAGAGUGAGGGAAGAAGGAAGCCAGGAAAAGUGGGGGUGACGUGAGGCGGGGAGAAAGAGGCUGGGUCAUUAACUGUCAACUUGUCUCGAUGCAGAGUCACCUAGGAAGUCUCCGUAGGAAUGUUCUAGAUCAGGUUGGCCUGUGGGCAUGUCCAUGAGGGAUUACUUUGAUGAUGGUAAUUGAUGUGGGGAUACCCAGGCCACUGUAGGUGGUACCACCUGGGCAGAAGGUACUGGACUUUGUAUGUGUAGAACAAGCUAAGCACUAAGUUUGUACUUAUGCUCUGCUCUUGGCUGUGGGUGUAACCAGCUGCUUCAGGUUCCUAUCUGGACUUCCCCUCAAUGACACACUGCAGCCUAAAUUUCUAUCAGGGCAUUUUAGCAUAGCAACAGGAAGUGACCUAGAACCCUGCUUCCUGCUCUGUUUUAAAGGCCCCACCUCCACCUUCCACACUGGGGGAGUUCUGUGGGUAGACUCGUCCCAGGUGGGUGGUGUCUGCUUGAAGCUGACAAAGUCCACCUUCUCCAACACCCCCCCCCCCCCCCCCCGAGGACAGUGGACUCAGACACAGGACCAAGCUCCCUGAUUCUGCAGGCCGCCAGCGUGUGCAGUAUCAACUUCCGAGACUGAGAACUGGCAAAGGGAUUCUUGGAGCUGGCUGGGUGCUGGGCCACAGAGUAUACCUAAGGUACCGUGACCUAGGGCAGAGGUUCUCAACCUGUGGGUCACGACCCCCUUGACAAACCUCUAUCUCCAAACAUAUUUACAUUACAAUCAUAACAGUAGCAAAAUUAUAGUUAUGAGGUGGCAACGAAAAUAACUUUAUGAUUGGGAGGUCACCACAGCAUGAGGAACUGUAAUAAAGGGUUGCAUUAUUGGGAAGGUGGAGAACCACUGACCUGGUGGGUCAGUACGUGGGUGAACCCGGGUUGCCCAGCAUCUGUCUCCAGAGGAAGAAUUCUGAAUGCAAGUAAGUCUUGGGUCGAAGGUGGAAGGCUUCAUGUCAGUCCCGUCAGUCUUGGAGGUGUGGCUGCUGGGGGCCACCCGUGAUGUCUGCAGCUUUAAUAUACAGUGCCGAUGCUUGAAUAUGAGCAGGCUUGCAGAUAAUCAAAGCAUGGCUCGAGGUAGGAAUUUAAUGUCAGGAUCCCAGCCAGGGCUGGCAAGCCAUAUAUGUGCUAAUGUGGCAAUUUCAACCUUGGACUUAAGGUCAAGAUUGAUUUAGUGAAAAAUAUUAUUCUGCAAUGGAAUAGAUGCCUUCUGAAUUGGAUUGUGGGGGAUUCUGGAGGAUGGGUUAGUGUAGGGUGUAGAUAACCCAAAUGGCUGAAGUAAGAACAGCUUUAAGGCAGAGUGCAAUGAGACACAAUAUUUUUUUCUUAUAUGUAGGAAAAAAAAAAUCCUUUGUUGGCAGGCUGCAUAUAUUUUGACAAUUUUGAGAAGUAACACUGUUGGUUUUUUUUUAAAAACUUUUUAUUAUAGAAAAUGUCAAAUAUUCCCUAACCUACCUGUAGUUCAACUUCUAACUUUUAUUUUUGACUUUAUGAUACUAUGAAAACAAUACACACCAUCGGAAACCAUGCUUGGGAAUUGGAACUCAGAUCCUUUCCCUGGCCAUCUCUGUGCUGUCUAGUCCUUCGGGCAGCCCCCAUGGGUCCCAGUUCACUUACAAACCACAAGGAGACCAUCAAGGCCCCGCAGCAUGGACCUGGACAGUGGGGUAGGGAGAUGAAUCCAGCACAUUGGCAACUUGACAAUAUGGCCAAUUUAAGGUAGUUUUAGCAGGGUCAUCAUGAGUCGAGGAGCAGUUAUACUGAGUUAGAGAUAGCGUUACUAAAGUUAUUGACUUCCCCUCUAAGGAGCCAGAGAGUUAAGUUUAGGUUUCUCAUGCCCCUGUCUCCGUGAUUCAAUUCUGCUGUCCCAGCAGAUAAAUAUCUACAGACAGGACCAACAGGAACAAACAGGGAUCCAUUCUAGGGAGACGCUGCCACUGGAGUUCUAUGUGAUCUUUACAUGCUAGCUAGGCAGUAUUAUUGUGAUGGUUAUUCUUGGUUGUCAACUUGGCUACAUCUGGAAUUAACUAAAUCCCAAGCAGCUAUACCUGUGAGGGAUUUUUUCUUAAUUAAAUCAUUUGAAGUGGGAAGACCCACUUUUCAUCCAAGUCUUCUGAGGCUUGAAGAGCCACCUUCAGUCUGGGCCACACCUCCUGCUGGCAGCCUAUAUAAAGGACAUGGAAGAAGGAAGCUUGUUCUCUUUGCCUGCUUCUCUCGCUCUUGCUAGCAAGUCCGUUCCUUCACGGGCCUUAGAGCCGACUCCUUCCGGAUUCCAGUGUGUACUGAAGACCGGCCGAGACAUGCAGCCUCAUAGACUGAACAGCUCCUAGAUUCAUGGACCUUCCUUUGGUAGACAGCCAUUGUUGGACUAGCUGGACCACAGCCUGUAAGCCACUCCAUGCUGUGCUGGACCAUUGUCACGGGCUGAAGGAGGAACAUCACGGCCCCGUAGGCUCAGACGCUGGAACACUUGGUCCUCGGGUGGCGCUGUAUGGGAAGCUGGUGUGGCUCUGAUGGAGGAAGUAGGUGGGGGCUCUGAGAGUUCAUAGCCUCAGCUCACUUCUAGUGUGCCGUCUCCUGUGGUCACGCUUGAGGGUGUGAGCUCCAAGCUUGCUGCCCCUGCCCCCAUCCGGCUAUAAGCUGCCCAGCCUCCCGCCAUGAUGGACUCCUAUCCUCUGGAACUGCAAGUCCAAAUAAAGCCUCUCGCCCGGGGGGCCUUAGGCCAUGGUGUUUUGUCACAGCAACAGAAAAGUAACUAAUACAUUGGCCUGGAAGAUGAGACCCUGAAGACUUGAUCCUUACAUUUGGUCCCCUUAAGGGUUUUUCCUAAAACAUCAUGUCCUUUGUCUUGGCGACAUAGUCCUCAAGGUUCUGAGGGUGCUGGUAAAUGGAAAUCCAGAUCUCUGCUCGGAGAUCAAAUAUAUCCUGGACUUGCCUGAAAGGGGUCAGAAAAAUUAAGUGAGAUAAAUGGGCAGAGAGGUUGGAGCAAAUGUCUUUGAUUUGUGCAAGAGAGCCAUAAAAAUAAAAUCUCUGGGGCCAUUUCAUCUUACAUCAGAAACCAAGCUUACCUCCCACUAUACAGGGUCAGCAUGGUGUCUCUCUCAAAUGUUCAAGAAAGGGGGUGAAGGCCUGGGCACAUGAAAGCAUAUCUGACUGAACCUGCCGUAAAUGGCUUUCAGAACACUGGAACCUGGUGUUAUGGGUAUGCCCGAACAAAGCCUUGUCCCUCACGUGUCCCAUCUGUGGGACACUAGUCCCAACUGGAGCCGUUACAGUGAGGAUUGCCUUGCACAGAACAACCAAUGAGUUUGGAUAUAACAUGGUGAGCUCCAUUGAAGCUCUGUGACUUGUCAAUCCCACAUUCCAGAAGCCCAAGGCUUGUUUUUUUUUCCUCCUUGGGCUAGCUGGUCCAUGUGGGUGACACCGACGACGACAUUGAUGAAUUUCACAUUUGAGUCUGUAGCCCAUGCUCCCCUCUGCAUGUCCCCCAAAGGCCUGCUCAACAUUGCACUUGAAUAGCUCACUGAUUUGCUUCUGGCCAAAGGCCCCCGCCUUCAAGAACUCAACUCAAGCCCCAAAUGUAGCAGUCCCAACACCACGCCUUCCCUCUGCCAUAAACCCCCUCACUCCCACACCUGUUUUUCCAUUUCUGAUGUCGUCUCUGUAUCCAUCCUCUUAUUCCCGACAGCUCCCCCGCAUGCCAAGCUCACACCCCAUCCUCUCAUGCUAAAUUAGCUUCCUCAGUGUCCUCCCCGCCUCCCUCUGCAUUUGGACCUGGAGCUCAGCCUGGCUUGUGAUUGCAUCCGUGUGGAUGCCAUCAUUCCGUUCCCUUUUGUGGCUCACGGACUAGUCAUGUGACCAGAGACUGCUGUGUGGGACACACAGCACAGUAGGUACUGGAGGGCGAAUGAAUCACUUGGCUCACCUACCGAGAGAAUCUUCAGUGUUCGCAGAAUGAUUUAAAACAGGAAGCUCUGGGGACCAAAAGGAGAGCAUUUGACACCAUGAAGCAUUCUGAGAACACCUCCAAAUGUUCCAAGAUAUACCGAGCAGGGAGACGUGGUCCAAGAUGGACAUUGUCAGUUUGGUGCACAGCUCUGUGUCUUUGCCUGCAGGAUCAUGACUGAUGUAGCAGGUCCGUGAGUAUAAGCAGCCAUGGUGUGUUCCUGACUCACCUCCAACACCUGCCAGUUUUCACUGAAGUAAAUCCUGACUCCUACGGCUGUCAUCAAAAUGUGCUCUGAACCGGCAAUGACUUCAUGGCCCUGCUGAGAUGGAGUCCUCAAGACGGGGCUUUCUAAAGCCUGCAUAGGUGACACUCUCCCCUGCUCAGUGUGGCUGGGAUUCCAUGGCGAUCGCAGGGCUGGUUAUUUGUUAAAAUGAUUUAGGCACAAAUGUCAGAGGAGAAGUUGGUGUCAUCAAAUUAAAAACGUCCUCUAAGCUGAGACUGAUGAAUGUGCUGAGUUCUGCUCCCAGCCAUUCGGAACGAACCCUGAAUGAAUAAUAAACCAGGCCACCAGUGA
Molecule: non-coding RNA, 7404 nt
Organism: Peromyscus maniculatus bairdii (prairie deer mouse)
Lineage: Eukaryota; Metazoa; Chordata; Mammalia; Rodentia; Cricetidae
Source: RefSeq, a predicted model, not a curated record